UUAACUAAAUUUCAGUAUGGAGUUGGAUCAUGUCCACUAUGUUUGCCGCUAGGGGCGCUGUUUCAACUCUUUACAAAUUUGAGUUA
RNAcentral lists this microRNA precursor (86 nucleotides) under Bombyx mori (domestic silkworm). RNAcentral describes it as "mir-2807 microRNA precursor family". It matches the Rfam family "mir-2807 microRNA precursor family". Lineage: Eukaryota; Metazoa; Arthropoda; Insecta; Lepidoptera; Bombycidae. The record is from Rfam by way of RNAcentral.